UCGAGAAUCUUCCGCAAUGGACGCAAGUCUGACGGAGCGACGCCGCGUGCGGGAUGAAGGCCCUCGGGUUGUAAACCGCUGUCAGUUGGGAGGAAAUGCCAUAGGGCACUCUCUAUGGUUUGACCAAUCUUCAGAGGAAGUCCGGGCUAAGUUCGUGCCAGCAGCCGCGGUAAGACGAACCGGACGAACGUUAUUCGGAAUCACUGGGCUUAAAGGGUACGUAGGCGGCCUUGUAGGUUGGGUGUGAAAUCCCACGGCUCAACCGUGGAACUGCGCUCAAAACCACAGGGCUUGAGGGAAGCAGAGGUAAGCGGAACUGAUGGUGGAGCGGUGAAAUGCGUUGAUAUCAUCAGGAACACCAGUGGCGAAGGCGGCUUACUGGGCUUCUUCUGACGCUGAGGUACGAAAGCUAGGGUAGCGAACGGGAUUAGAUACCCCCGUAGUCC
Molecule: ribosomal RNA, 446 nt
Filed under: uncultured prokaryote
Description: bacterial SSU rRNA
Rfam family: Bacterial small subunit ribosomal RNA
Source: RNAcentral